UACGUAGGGUGCGAGCGUUAAUCGGAAUUACUGGGCGUAAAGGGUGCGCAGGUGGCCGUGCAAGUCGAGCGUGAAAUCCCCGAGCUUAACCUGGGAAUUGCGCUCGAAACUACGUGGCUCGAGUGUGGCAGAGGAAGGUGGAAUUCCACGUGUAGCGGUGAAAUGCGUAGAGAUGUGGAGGAACACCGAUGGCGAAGGCAGCAUUCUGGGCCAACACUGACGCUCAUGCACGAAAGCGUGGGGAGCAAACAGG
This 253-nucleotide ribosomal RNA is filed under the name uncultured bacterium. Its description in RNAcentral is "partial 16S ribosomal RNA". It matches the Rfam family "Bacterial small subunit ribosomal RNA", at positions 524 to 776 of the family's 1533-position model. The record is from RNAcentral.